This 229-nucleotide ribosomal RNA is filed under the name uncultured bacterium. RNAcentral describes it as "partial 16S ribosomal RNA". It matches the Rfam family "Bacterial small subunit ribosomal RNA", at positions 15 to 244 of the family's 1533-position model. The record is from RNAcentral.
GAUCAUGGCUCAGAGUGAACGCUGGCGGCGUGCCUAAUACAUGCAAGUCGAACGGACGAGUAAGAGCUUGCUCUUAUGAGUUAGUGGCGCACGGGUGAGUAAUGUAUAGCUAAUCUGCCCUACACUAGAGGACAACAGUUGGAAACGACUGCUAAUACUCUAUACACCUCUCUAGCAUAAGUUAGAUAGGGAAAGUUUUUCGGUGUAGGAUGAGGCUAUAUUGUAUCAG